UAGGGAAUCUUGCGCAAUGGGCGAAAGCCUGACGCAGCCAUGCCGCGUGAAUGAUGAAGGUCUUAGGAUUGUAAAAUUCUUUCACCGGGGAAGAUAAUGACGGUACCCGGAGAAGAAGCCCCGGCUAACUUCGUGCCAGCAGCCGCGGUAAUACGAAGGGGGCUAGCGUUGCUCGGAAUUACUGGGCGUAAAGGGCGCGUAGGCGGACAUUUAAGUCGGGGGUGAAAGCCCAGGGCUCAACCCUGGAAUUGCCUUCGAUACUGGAUGUCUUGAGUUCGGGAGAGGUGAGUGGAAUGCCGAGUGUAGAGGUGAAAUUCGUAGAUAUUCGGCGGAACACCAGUGGCGAAGGCGACUCACUGGCCCGAUACUGACGCUGAGGCGCGAAAGCGUGGGGAGCAAACAGGAUUAGAUACCCCUGUAGUCC
This 424-nucleotide ribosomal RNA is filed under the name uncultured bacterium. Its description in RNAcentral is "bacterial SSU rRNA". It matches the Rfam family "Bacterial small subunit ribosomal RNA", at positions 355 to 796 of the family's 1533-position model. The record is from RNAcentral.